UCAACCUAAAGCCUUCAGCUGUUCUCUAAUUUAGAAAGAGGUGUUUGUAUGAGCGGGCAAAGUUUGAAGUUAUUGUUGGGUUGUUUUAGGCAAGCUUUCACAUUGAUUCUGGUGCAACAUAAGGUUAAGGUAACCAUCCUCUGGUACCCAUGCCAUUUUAUAAAGGAGUUUGAGCCCUGAAGCCACAGCUUUCAACGAGGGGAGGGUCUGCACUGCCCCCACUGAGUGGGUCUGAUGUGGACUCUUCUGUCUUGGUGCCAGUGCAGUGAAUUUUCUGAGACCUGAUACUGAGACAUGGAAAGCUCUCUUUCCCGUUUCCCUCAUCUACACAAGCUGUGACUUAAAGAGCAGAAAAAGCAGUGAGCCUGACUGCUUCUUCUAGGAUGCUCGGAUAGCUAAGUUAGCUUAGAGCUGGGCUCAUCUCUCAGGCCUGCUGCAAGCUUUUGGGACUCUCUCUGCCUUUGCUUCCACGUGGAGAAAAACAUCACUUCUGUAACUCGCGGGAGUGCUGCAGGAAUAAAUUCACUGAAGCUUAUGACCCUGUGUUGGUGAUAAUUGUGGGAGCACACAGGCGCACAGGGAUGAGCUGCCUCUGUCUAGUACUGGAGCACUUGGGAUCAAAGCUUCCCUUACGCAGCCUGAUGCCUGAGCCUGUUCAACAAAGCGUGAGGAUGGUUUCUGGCUCAUCUGUUCAUUCAAGCUUUUAAUUAGUUACCAGCUAUCCUCAUGGUGAGGAGUUGACGCCUGAUGUUAUUGAGGUACUUAUUCAAGCGUUCAUGUUUAUGCAAACGAAUUCUUUUUAUAUCGGUUUUUGGGCAGUCAUAAGCCGUGGUAAGGAAAUAAAUGACAUGUAAAGAAGAAAUGUGACCCAUUGAUCAAAGAUGCGCUGGCCCACCAGUGAACAGUCUAUCUGGGCUGUGAAAUGGCUGGUCCCCAGAGAGGCCCAUUCAAAAAAGAACUGAUGCUUGCAUUUUCCAGCAUCUAUAUGCAGAAUCCCAAGUGGUUAUACAACACGCACACAUGACUUGAGCUGCAAACACACAUUGCUGCAGUCCUUACACUGGUCCUGUUUUUGAGUUAGUGUAAAAGCUUUCCUGGAUGGGUAUGCACACUGCUUGACUACUUGCAAAGAACUGGGCCGUUAGCCCAUAGACAGGGGAGGGUAUGUCACACUACAUAGGAAAACAGGUCCUUAGCAAAACCACGGGACACAGAAGCACUCAGCAGCUUCUUACCUGCUCCCCACUGCAGUGAUUCUGUAGCUGCCAUUGCUGCACAUCCAUAUAAGAGGACAGGGCAAGACCAAAUAAGCUCAAACCAGUCUCUAAGAUGUAAUCAAAGAAUGUAUUUUAACUGGAGAGUUCAGACAGAGAUAAGGGGCAUGUGAGAUGAUCUAUUUUUCCCUUUAAACUUGUCGCGUGCAAGGGAGCAGAUCUUCCCAUAAUGUAAAUCAGCAUAGCUCCACUGUCUGGAGGGAACAAUUGUAAUUUAUCCUGCCUGAAGGCCUGCACAGAAGGUGCUUGAGGUUUCUCGCAAUUCAUUGGAGACUUGUGACAUUGAGAGCAGGCAUUUGAGCUCCACUGUCUUCUGGAGCGAUUUGCAGCGCAGGCGACUUAUAAUUACAAACGCUUGAUAAAUCUUCAGAGAAACUGGGGAGUUUGGUAGGAUGCUUGAGUCAGUCGUGACAAAUUUCACUUCCUGUAAGAAAGCUGUGUUUCUGCAAUUUUGGUCUCAGCACAAAAGCAUCGCUCAGCAAUACUGUGGAAGAGGUUCUGAGGGUUCAGCCAAGCUUUAAAAUAUUUCCAGGAUCUUCUUUGUCUUGUGGAGAUCAGUGGGUUCCUUUCCUGCCAAGCUGAAAAGCCUGGGGGAAACAAAAGGAACCUAUUUCAUGCCAUUUUUGUGAGAACAAUACCUCUCCCCGACACCUUAUGCAGCUGGUAAAUACCAUUCCUUUAUCAGGUACCUAAUCUUUUUUAGCAAUGUUCAACCACCUACACCUGACCACCAACUUUCCACUCUGUUUGCCUUGGCUGACAUUUAUAUAACAAAGAGCUGCUAACUGUUCUUUUAUCUGCACAAGAAGGUCGAGCACAGGAGGAGACAAAUAUGAUGGGCACCAUACGGCAGCGCAGAGCUGCACUGCUCUCUGUAUAUCCAGACUCUCUAAUAGCUAUAUUGAGCCAUUGCUCAGAAAAAAAUGCUGCUGGUUGCCUGGAAUGA
Molecule: long non-coding RNA, 2220 nt
Organism: Cygnus olor (mute swan)
Lineage: Eukaryota; Metazoa; Chordata; Aves; Anseriformes; Anatidae
Exons: 6
Source: RefSeq, a predicted model, not a curated record